GCCAGGUGCCGUGGUGCAUACCUGUAAUCCCAGGGGCUUUGGAGGCUGAGGCAGGAGGAUCACGAAUUCAAAGUCAGCGUCAGUCAGCAAAAGUGAGGUGCUAAGCAACUCAGUGAGACCCUGUCUCUA
RNAcentral lists this small RNA (129 nucleotides) under Marmota monax (woodchuck). The record is from RNAcentral. Lineage: Eukaryota; Metazoa; Chordata; Mammalia; Rodentia; Sciuridae.